AUUGAACGCUGGCGACAUGCCUUACACAUGCAAGUCGAACGGCAGCACGGGUGCUUGCACCUGGUGGCGAGUGGCGAACGGGUGAGUAAUACAUCGGAACAUGUCCUGUAGUGGGGGAUAGCCCGGCGAAAGCCGGAUUAAUACCGCAUACGAUCUACGGAUGAAAGCGGGGGACCUUCGGGCCUCGCGCUAUCGGGUUGGCCGAUGGCUGAUUAGCUAGUUGGGGGGGUAAAGGCCUACCAAGGCGACGAUCAGUAGCUGGUCUGAGAGGACGAUCAGUCACACUGGGACUGAGACACGGCCCAGACUCCUACGGGAGGCAGCAGUGGGGAAUUUUGGACAAUGGGCGAAAGCCUGAUCCAGCAAUGCCGCGUGUGUGAAGAAGGCCUUCGGGUUGUAAAGCACUUUUGUCCGGAAAGAAAUCCUUGGCCCUAAUACGGUCGGGGGAUGACGGUACCGGAAGAAUAAGCACCGGCUAACUACGUG
RNAcentral lists this ribosomal RNA (486 nucleotides) under uncultured bacterium. RNAcentral describes it as "partial 16S ribosomal RNA". It matches the Rfam family "Bacterial small subunit ribosomal RNA", at positions 30 to 507 of the family's 1533-position model. The record is from RNAcentral.